ACAUCGUCUAGACUAGUGAAGAAAGGUCGAUGGACUGAC
This 39-nucleotide small nucleolar RNA is filed under the name Saccharolobus islandicus HVE10/4. RNAcentral's name for it is "Sulfolobus islandicus HVE10/4 non-coding RNA". Lineage: Archaea; Thermoproteati; Thermoproteota; Thermoprotei; Sulfolobales; Sulfolobaceae. The record is from RNAcentral. RNAcentral also lists the same sequence under 1 other name.